AUAAACGUGAAUUACAUUUUACUUAAGAAUAUCUUUACAUCUGUUUUACCAGUUCGUUUUGAAAAAUUUCUGUUAGUAACAUGCAUUAUAUCUAUCGUUCUACACAGCUAAACCGGCGUGCAUGCGCUUUUUAUUGACAAAAAUUAGGAAAAGACUAUGUCUAAAUCAACUGGGAUCGUUAAGUGGUUCAACGCAGAAAAAGGCUUCGGCUUUAUUACUCCUGACAAUGGCGGAUCAGAUGUAUUUGUUCACUUUCGUGCUAUCGCGAGUGACGGCUAUAAAACGUUAAAUGAAGGUCAGCAAGUGACUUUUGAUAUUGAGCAAGGCCAAAAAGGUCCCCAAGCGGCCAACGUGACUGUGUAAUACAGCAUUUUAGUCGAUAAGAAAAAACGUCAGCCUUUGCUGACGUUUUUUGU
This 416-nucleotide small RNA is filed under the name Aliiglaciecola lipolytica E3. RNAcentral describes it as "cspA thermoregulator". It matches the Rfam family "cspA thermoregulator". Lineage: Bacteria; Pseudomonadati; Pseudomonadota; Gammaproteobacteria; Alteromonadales; Alteromonadaceae. The record is from Rfam by way of RNAcentral.